CUUAUACUCCCUCCGUCCCGAAAUACUUGUCCUAGAAAUAGAUGUAUCUAGACUUAUUUUAAUUAUAGAUACAUUCAUUUUAUACAAUUUUUAGGACAAGUAUUUCCGGACGGAGGGAGUAUUUA
RNAcentral lists this microRNA precursor (125 nucleotides) under Hordeum vulgare. RNAcentral's name for it is "microRNA MIR1122". It matches the Rfam family "MIR1120/MIR1122 microRNA precursor family". The record is from RNAcentral. Lineage: Eukaryota; Viridiplantae; Streptophyta; Magnoliopsida; Poales; Poaceae.